This 334-nucleotide ribosomal RNA is filed under the name uncultured prokaryote. RNAcentral's name for it is "bacterial SSU rRNA". It matches the Rfam family "Bacterial small subunit ribosomal RNA", at positions 26 to 352 of the family's 1533-position model. The record is from RNAcentral.
AGGACGAACGCUGGCGGCGUGCCUAAUACAUGCAAGUAGAACGCUGAAGGAGGAGCUUGCUUCUCUGGAUGAGUUGCGAACGGGUGAGUAACGCGUAGGUAACCUGCCUGGUAGCGGGGGAUAACUAUUGGAAACGAUAGCUAAUACCGCAUAAGAGUAGAUGUUGCAUGACAUUUGCUUAAAAGGUGCAAUUGCAUCACUACCAGAUGGACCUGCGUUGUAUUAGCUAGUUGGUGAGGUAACGGCUCACCAAGGCAACGAUACAUAGCCGACCUGAGAGGGUGAUCGGCCACACUGGGACUGAGACACGGCCCAGACUCCUACGGGAGGCAGC